AUAGCAUAUCAAUAAGCGGAGGAAAAGAAACUAACAAGGAUUCCCCUAGUAACUGCGAGUGAAGCGGGAAAAGCUCAAAUUUAAAAUCUGGCGGUCCUUGGCCGUCCGAGUUGUAAUCUAGAGAAGUGUUACCCGCGCUGGACCGUGUACAAGUCUCCUGGAAUGGAGCGUCAUAGAGGGUGAGAAUCCCGUCUCUGACACGGACUACCAGGGCUUUGUGGUAUGCUCUCAAAGAGUCGAGUUGUUUGGGAAUGCAGCUCAAAAUGGGUGGUAAAUUCCAUCUAAAGCUAAAUAUUGGCGAGAGACCGAUAGCGAACAAGUACCGUGAGGGAAAGAUGAAAAGAACUUUGGAAAGAGAGUUAAACAGUACGUGAAAUUGCUGAAAGGGAAACGCUUGAAGUCAGUCGCGUUGGCCGGGGAUCAGCCUUGCUUUUGCAUGGUGUACUUUCCGGUUGACGGGUCAGCAUCAAUUUUGACCGCUGGAAAAAGGCUUGGGGAAUGUGGCAGCUCCGGCUGUGUUAUAGCCCCUUGUCAUAUACAGCGGUUGGGAUUGAGGAACUCAGCACGCCGCAAGGCCGGGGUCAAACCACGUUCGUGCUUAGGAUGCUGGCAUAAUGGCUUUAAGCGACCCGUCUUGAAACACGGACCAAGGAGUCUAACAUGCCUGCGAGUGUUUGGGUGGAAAACCCGAGCGCGUAAUGAAAGUGAAAGUUGAGAUCCCUGUCGUGGGGAGCAUCGACACCCGGACCAGAACUUUUGGGACGGAUCCGCGGUAGAGCAUGUAUGUUGGGACCCGAAAGAUGGUGAACUAUGCCUGAAUAGGGUGAAGCCAGAGGAAACUCUGGUGGAGGCUCGUAGCGAUUCUGACGUGCAAAUCGAUCGUCAAAUUUGGGUAUAGGGGCGAAAGACUAAUCGAACCAUCUAGUAGCUGGUUCCUGCGAUCUUCUCUCCCGAGGUUUAAAA
RNAcentral lists this ribosomal RNA (963 nucleotides) under Lepiota sp. Its description in RNAcentral is "partial large subunit ribosomal RNA". It matches the Rfam family "Eukaryotic large subunit ribosomal RNA", at positions 35 to 987 of the family's 3401-position model. The record is from RNAcentral. Lineage: Eukaryota; Fungi; Basidiomycota; Agaricomycetes; Agaricales; Agaricaceae.